GUGCUUGCUUCGGCAGCACAUAUACUGAAAUUGGAACGAUACAGAGAAGAUUAGCAUGGCCUCUGUGCAAGGAUGACACGCAAAUUCGUGAAGUGUUCCAUAUAAAA
Molecule: small nuclear RNA, 107 nt
Filed under: Prolemur simus (greater bamboo lemur)
Lineage: Eukaryota; Metazoa; Chordata; Mammalia; Primates; Lemuridae
Source: RNAcentral